RNAcentral lists this long non-coding RNA (425 nucleotides) under Gallus gallus (chicken). RNAcentral describes it as "long non-coding RNA NONGGAT004417". Lineage: Eukaryota; Metazoa; Chordata; Aves; Galliformes; Phasianidae. The record is from RNAcentral.
GGAUGUUGCCUACCUUGAGUUCAAGAAGGCUUUUGAAUUUGUCUCCCAUAACAUCCUCCCAGGCACAGCAUAAUGUUCUUUUUUUCCUUCACUCUCCAAACAAUUUAUUAUUUUAUGGGCCAUAAACUUGAGGAAGCUCUUGUCUAAAGGAAGACACGAAUUAAAAAAAAGGAAAACAUUUUGUCACCUAUAAAUCAGCUUAGCACGAAACUACAAUCAAUCAGCCUCAAAGCCUGGCAACAUUUCUGGGGCUUUCAACACAGGCUUCACUACACUGUAUAGAUUCUCAAGUCAUUUGCCUUUUAAAAUUGUGUUUCACCUUUGUUAAAUGCCUUGCUGAAAGUCUGCACACUAAGAAAUCAAGUAUAAAGCGUGGUUUAUUUUCAGCACAGAACAUCUCUUGAAGUGUGAAUGAUUUCCCCAAA